UCCCUUCCCUCGUCCUCCCUCAUCUUCCUCCCUCUCACCGACAUCCCUUUACAUUUCUCCCCUGCCUCACCAAAAUCAAAUCAAAUUGAGAUUGAACCAUGACAUACACAUGCAGUAUGCAACAAAUAUAAAUCCUACAUAACAAACCCUAAAUUAACCUCCCUCCGUACCCAUCUCUCUCUCUCUCUCUCUCUCUCUCUCCUUAUUAUCACGAAGAAAAGCAAGCAAACAGUAUCUAUCUCGAUCUGCUCCGCACGUAAUUAUUACAGGUUGCUCGCUGAUAGUGAUACACACACCCACCAACCAAGGCACAAAGCAUGAGCGGGAGAUUAGCUGAAGUCCGGUUAUACUUAGAGGGAAGUGGCACGGCAGCUAUUGCUUUCGAAAUACAGAGCAUCAGCCACUCAACUGGUGCUUCCGAGUACUGUUUUUUAAGUACCAGUGUGAAUCAAAUAGAAGAUGUAUGAAUCUCAUUAGACUCAAUUACCAGGGACAGGUUCAAAAUCGGUAUAGAUUAUCAAAAGAUAACUCGAGUCUUCGUUGGUGAGCAUUGUCCAGUAUUACUUCCUUAUGCUGAUACAUAUCACCUCCUUGCUGAGAGGAGUUUCCAUGUCCCUAUGCGUGAUGUCAAGCAAUUUUCAUCAAGGCCUAAAUGGACGCAUGUCUUGGCUUAUCAUCUUUCCAAGAUGGGUGUCCCACAAGGUGCGCAGCCAGCUCUCAUUGUAAGCAUACUUGACUACAUUGAAGAGGCCGACAACGACAGCUUUGAGUUGCCUAUUCUUGUGCAUAUUGUGGAUGGCACUUAUCACAUUCUGAGGUCGGACCACGACAACGACAUCCUUGAUAGGGUUAUGAGGCAAUCCUCGGAAGCAUACAUGGCCAUGCUUAUUCCUGCAGCUCAGUCAUCCAUUCAGGGCUUGGAGAAUGUGAGGCUUGAUGAUCCUACUUUGGGCCCGCUGUCCUCAUGUAUUAUUUGUAUGGAAGGCCUCCUCCUUGAUCAUCAUGAUGAUCAUCACUCUGAUAAUAUUAAUGCCGUCCGUGCUUCUCAAGAUGAAGAUGAUCAUCAUGAUCAAGAUCAAGGUCAAGGGGUUGAUUGUCGCCAUCCACCAAUGACGAUCAAACGCUUGCCCUGCUUACACAAAUUUCAUGAAGAUUGCAUCGUCCCGUGGCUGCAGAUCAAUCACUUGUGUCCCCUGUGCCGAUACCCGCUGGAAGUGCGCGAGUCAUCAAAACCCAAACGAAGGAGAUUAUCAUGAAAUAAUGAAAGAAGACCUGCAGCCAUGAUGAUCAGCUGGAACAAUGUAUGGCAGAAGCUGGCUUGAUUAGUAUGUUCUCUUCGGGAUCAUAAAAUCAACAUGCAUGUGGGAUCAUUGUACCUGGUAUUCCUCUUCUAGAGGCUUGGCAAGCUGAGUGCAUGGGAGCAUCAUAUACUCAUAUCAUCAAAGUCUUUAGAAGAAAGAAGAGUGGAGGUUGGAGUUGGGACUGAAGGUUAUUAGCCUUACACCUCCCAAAUAUUAAGUAUUGUGUACAUGUGGUGUUCGACUUUGUCUCACCUGAAAAUGUAAUGAGUGCAACCAGUUGACUGAUGAAGUCUGCUUCGAGAAGAUCAUGAAGCAAAAGUUGAAAAGC
Prunus avium (sweet cherry) is the source of this 1629-nucleotide non-coding RNA. Lineage: Eukaryota; Viridiplantae; Streptophyta; Magnoliopsida; Rosales; Rosaceae. The record is from RefSeq and is a predicted model, not a curated record.